GGCUCAGGAUGAACGCUAGCGACAGGCCUAACACAUGCAAGUCAGGGGCAGCACAAGGAGCAAUCUGAGGUGGCGACCGGCGCACGGGUGAGUAACACGUAUGCAACCUGCCUGUAAGCGGGGAAUAACCCGUUGAAAGACGGACUAAUACCGCAUAAUACUAAAUUACUGCAUGGUAAUUUAUUUAAACAUUUAUGGCUUACAGAUGGGCAUGCGCAUGAUUAGCUAGUUGGAGAGGUAACGGCUCCCCAAGGCAACGAUCAUUAGGGGUUCUGAGAGGAAGGUCCCCCCACACUGGUACUGAGACACGGACCAGACUCCUACGGGAGGCAGCAGUGAGGAAUAUUGGUCAAUGGACGAGAGUCUGAACCAGCCAAGUCGCGUGCAGGAAGAAUGUCCUAUGGAUUGUAAACUGCUUUUGCAGGGGAAUAAAGUGCAUCACGUGUGAUGUUUUGUAUGUACUCUGCGAAUAAGGAUCGGCUAACUCCGUGCCAGCCGCGGC
This 502-nucleotide ribosomal RNA is filed under the name uncultured bacterium. RNAcentral's name for it is "bacterial SSU rRNA". It matches the Rfam family "Bacterial small subunit ribosomal RNA", at positions 21 to 518 of the family's 1533-position model. The record is from RNAcentral.